This 253-nucleotide ribosomal RNA is filed under the name uncultured bacterium. Its description in RNAcentral is "partial 16S ribosomal RNA". It matches the Rfam family "Bacterial small subunit ribosomal RNA", at positions 524 to 776 of the family's 1533-position model. The record is from RNAcentral.
UACGUAGGUGGCAAGCGUUAUCCGGAAUUACUGGGCGUAAAGGGCGCGUAGGCGGGAUGGCAAGUCGGUCGUGAAAUCCCUCGGCUCAACCGAGGAACGUCGAUCGAUACUGCUGUUCUUGAGGAUUGCAGAGGAGACUGGAAUUCCCGGUGUAGCGGUGAAAUGUGUAGAGAUCGGGAGGAACACCGGUGGCGAAGGCGGGUCUCUGGGACGGUACUGACGCUGAGACGCGAAAGCGUGGGGAGCGAACAGG